RNAcentral lists this ribosomal RNA (1193 nucleotides) under Bacillus sp. (in: firmicutes). Its description in RNAcentral is "bacterial SSU rRNA". It matches the Rfam family "Bacterial small subunit ribosomal RNA", at positions 69 to 1256 of the family's 1533-position model. The record is from RNAcentral. Lineage: Bacteria; Bacillati; Bacillota; Bacilli; Caryophanales; Bacillaceae.
UGAAGGUUUUUUUCUGACCCCAUCCCCUCAUGUUGCGGCGGACGGGUGAGUAACACGUGGGUAACCUGCCCGUAAGACUGGGAUAACUCCGGGAAACCGGGGCUAAUACCGGAUAACAUUUUGCCCCGCAUGGUGCAAAAUUCAAAGGCGGCUUCGGCUGUCACUUAUGGAUGGACCCGCGUCGCAUUAGCUAGUUGGUGAGGUAACGGCUCACCAAGGCAACGAUGCGUAGCCGACCUGAGAGGGUGAUCGGCCACACUGGGACUGAGACACGGCCCAGACUCCUACGGGAGGCAGCAGUAGGGAAUCUUCCGCAAUGGACGAAAGUCUGACGGAGCAACGCCGCGUGAGUGAUGAAGGCUUUCGGGUCGUAAAACUCUGUUGUUAGGGAAGAACAAGUGCUAGUUGAAUAGCCUGGCACCUUGACGGUACCUAACCAAAAAGCCACGGUUAACUACUUGCCACCAGCCGCGGUAAUACUUAGGUGGCAAGCGUUAUCCGGAAUUAUUGGGCGUAAAGCGCGCGCAGGUGGUUUCUUAAUUCUGAUGUGAAAGCCCACGGUUCACCCGUGGAGGGUCUUGGGAAACUGGGAAACUUGAGUGCAAAAAAGGAAAGUGAAAUUCCAUGUGUAGCGGUGAAAUGCGUAAAGAGAUGGAGAAACACCAUUGGCAAAGGCGACUUUCUGGUUUGUAACUGACCUGAGGGGCGAAACCGUGGGGAGCAAAACAGGAUAAAAUACCCUGGUAGUCCACGCCGUAAACAAUGAGUGCUAAGUGUAAAGGGUUUCCGCCCUUUAAUGCUGAAGUAACGCAUUAGGCACUCCCGCCUGGGGGAGUACGGGCCGCAAGCUGAAAACUCAAGAAAUUGACGGGGGCCGCGCACAAGCGGUGAAGCAAUGUGUUUAAUUCGAAGCACGCGGAGAAACCUUACCAGGGUCGUGACAAUCCUUCUGACACACCCUAAAGUGAGCGUCCCCUUCCGGGAAAGUGACAGGUGUAGCAUGGUGUCUUCAGCUCGGUCGUGAGAUGUUGGUUAGUUCCAGACCAAGGCACCCCUGACCUGAAGGCCUCAUCUAACUUGGACUCUCUAAGUGACUCGCCGGACCAACUGCAGAGACGUGACAUGAACUCACAUCAUCUAGCCUCUUAAGCUCUGUGUGCGUAACACGCGGUAUGUCAAAGUGUGACAGUCUA